GACAGAGGGUGCAAACGUUGUUCGGAAUUACUGGGCGUAAAGCGUGUGUAGGCGGCUAGGUAAGUCGGAUGUGAAAGCCCCGGGCUCAACUCGGGAAGUGCACUCGAUACUGCUUAGCUCGAGUACCGGAGAGGUUGGUGGAAUUCUCGGUGUAGAGGUGAAAUUCGUAGAUAUCGAGAGGAACACCGGUGGCGAAGGCGGCCAACUGGACGAGUACUGACGCUGAGACACGAAAGCGUGGGGAGCAAAC
RNAcentral lists this ribosomal RNA (250 nucleotides) under uncultured bacterium. RNAcentral's name for it is "partial 16S ribosomal RNA". It matches the Rfam family "Bacterial small subunit ribosomal RNA", at positions 524 to 773 of the family's 1533-position model. The record is from RNAcentral.